RNAcentral lists this ribosomal RNA (365 nucleotides) under uncultured eukaryote. RNAcentral describes it as "partial 18S ribosomal RNA". It matches the Rfam family "Eukaryotic small subunit ribosomal RNA", at positions 592 to 976 of the family's 1831-position model. The record is from RNAcentral.
CAAUAGCGUAUAUUUAAGUUGUUGCAGUUAAAAAGCUCGUAGUCGGAUUUUGGCUGAGAACGAUCGGUCCGCCGUUAGGUGUGCACUGAUUGGUCUCAGCUUCCUGGUGAGGAGGUGUGCUUCACGGCCACUUAGUCACCGUGGUUACUUUGAAAAAAUUAGAGUGUUCAAAGCGGGCUUACGCUUGAAUAUAUUAGCAUGGAAUAACACCAUAGGACUCCUGUCCUAUUUCGUUGGUCUCGGGACGGGAGUAAUGAUUAAGAGGAACAGUUGGGGGCAUUCGUAUUUCAUUGUCAGAGGUGAAAUUCUUGGAUUUAUGAAAGACGAACUUCUGCGAAAGCAUUUGCCAAGGAUGUUUUCAUUGA